UAAGUACUCCCUCCGUUUGAAAAUACUUGUCGGAGAAAUAGAUGAAAAUGAAUGUAUUUAGAACUAAAAUAUGUUUAGAUACAUUCAUUUUUCUGACAAGUAUUUCCGGACGGAGGGAGUACAAC
Molecule: non-coding RNA, 125 nt
Organism: Triticum aestivum (bread wheat)
Lineage: Eukaryota; Viridiplantae; Streptophyta; Magnoliopsida; Poales; Poaceae
Source: Rfam